Molecule: transfer RNA, 130 nt
Filed under: Fodinibius sp.
Lineage: Bacteria; Pseudomonadati; Balneolota; Balneolia; Balneolales; Balneolaceae
Description: tRNA-Tyr
Rfam family: tRNA
About the family: Transfer RNA (tRNA) molecules are approximately 80 nucleotides in length. Their secondary structure includes four short double-helical elements and three loops (D, anti-codon, and T loops).
Source: RNAcentral
GGGCGAGUAGUAAUGGCGGGAAGCCAAAAAACUCCAAUCCGAACAUUCACCCUUCAGGGUCGGCUGGAAUUGGGUUAUCAUACAUCAAACCGUAAAUUUGAAGAAGUAGGUUCGAAUCCUACCUCGCCCA